Molecule: non-coding RNA, 45 nt
Filed under: Schistosoma mattheei
Lineage: Eukaryota; Metazoa; Platyhelminthes; Trematoda; Strigeidida; Schistosomatidae
Source: RNAcentral
AUCCAGCUGACGAUCCCCGAAUGGGAUGAAAUGUGCGUCCUGGAU